Molecule: ribosomal RNA, 433 nt
Filed under: uncultured bacterium
Lineage: Bacteria
Description: partial 16S ribosomal RNA
Rfam family: Bacterial small subunit ribosomal RNA
Source: RNAcentral
GACGAACGCUGGCGGCGUGCCUAACACAUGCAAGUCGAACGAAACGUCCGGGUUUUUGGGCGCACGUCGGCGGAAGGCGUGGUAACCUACACUUGGGUUCCGUAUACCUCCCCGAGAGGGAUGCUAAUGCCACUGAAUCUCUUAGCGCCAAAGAUUUAUUGCCUUUGGAUGGGCGCGCGUUGGAUUAGGGGGUUGGUAGGGUAAUAGCCUACUAACGCGUCGAUGCAUAGCUGGUCUGAGAGGAUGAUUAGUCACACUGGGACUGAGACACGGCCCAGACUCGUACGGGAAGGAGCAGUGGGGAAUACUGGAGAAGGGGCGAAAGCCUGAUACAGCAAUGCCGGGUAAGUGAUGAUGGGCUUAGGGUUGUAAAGCGCUUUUACCCGGGAUGAUAAUGACAGUACCGGGAGAAUAAGCUCCGGCUAACUACGUG